UACGUAGGGGGCUAGCGUUGUCCGGAUUUAUUGGGCGUAAAGCGCGUGUAGGCGGCUAGGUAGGUCCGCUGUGAAAACUCGAGGCUCAACCUCGAGGUGUCGGCGGAAACCAUCUGGCUAGAGUCCGGAAGAGGAGAGUGGAAUUCCCGGUGUAGCGGUGAAAUGCGCAGAUAUCGGGAAGAACACCCGUGGCGAAGGCGGCUCUCUGGGACGGUACUGACGCUGAGACGCGAAAGCGUGGGGAG
Molecule: ribosomal RNA, 245 nt
Filed under: uncultured bacterium
Lineage: Bacteria
Description: partial 16S ribosomal RNA
Rfam family: Bacterial small subunit ribosomal RNA
Source: RNAcentral